RNAcentral lists this ribosomal RNA (188 nucleotides) under uncultured bacterium. Its description in RNAcentral is "partial 16S ribosomal RNA". It matches the Rfam family "Bacterial small subunit ribosomal RNA", at positions 1307 to 1500 of the family's 1533-position model. The record is from RNAcentral.
GCAACUCGACUCCAUGAAGCUGGAUUCGCUAGUAAUCGCGCAUCAGCCAUGGCGCGGUGAAUACGUUCCCGGGCCUUGUACACACCGCCCGUCAAGCCAUGGGAGUCGGGAGUGCCUGAAGUUCGUGACCGUCACAGGAGCGACCUAAGGCAAGACCGAUGACUGGGGCUAAGUCGUAACAAGGUAAC